AGAGUUUGAUCCUGGCUCAGAAUGAACGCUGGCGGCGUGCUUAACACAUGCAAGUCGAACGAGAAAGUGGGCUUCGGUCCAUGAGUAGAGUGGCGCGCGGGUGAGUAACACGUGGGUAAUCUACCCCUCAAUUUGGGAUAACAUUGCGAAAGUGAUGCUAAUACCGAAUAACAUCCAUAAAGCUUUGGUUUAAUGGAUCAAAGGUGGCCAAUCCUUGGAAGCUACUGUUGGGGGAUGAGCCCGCGUACCAUUAGCUAGUUGGUAGGGUAAUGGCCUACCAAGGCGACGAUGGUUAGCUGGUCUGAGAGGAUGAUCAGCCACACUGGAACUGACACACGGUCCAGACUCCUACGGGAGGCAGCAGUGAGGAAUUUUGCGCAAUGGGGGCAACCCUGACGCAGCAACGCCGCGUGAGUGAUGAAGGCCCUUGGGUCGUAAAACUCUGUCAGCAGGAAAGAAGUUACAUGUGGUUAAUACCCAUGUGUAUUGACGGUACCUGCAAAGGAAGCACCGGCUAACUCCGUGCCAGCAGCCGCGGUAACACGGAGGGUGCAAGCGUUAUUCGGAAUUAUUGGGCGUAAAGGGCGCGUAGGCGGCCGAACAGGUCAGGUGUGAAAGCCCGGGGCUUAGCUCCGGAUCCGCGAUGGAAACUGUAAGGCUUGAAUCUUGGAGGGGGAGUUGGAAUUCCUAGUGUAGGGGUGAAAUCUGUUGAUAUUAGGAAGAACACCGGUGGCGAAGGCGAACUCCUGGCCGAAGAUUGACGCUGAGGCGCGAAAGCGUAGGUAGCAAACAGGAUUAGAUACCCUGGUAGUCC
This 814-nucleotide ribosomal RNA is filed under the name uncultured bacterium. Its description in RNAcentral is "bacterial SSU rRNA". It matches the Rfam family "Bacterial small subunit ribosomal RNA", at positions 8 to 796 of the family's 1533-position model. The record is from RNAcentral.